UACUCUGUAGCUCAGCUGGUAAAGCGUUUGUCUAUGGUGAUGAGGGGUGUCAGGUUCGAUUCCUCUCAGGGCCC
Meloidogyne enterolobii is the source of this 74-nucleotide non-coding RNA. Lineage: Eukaryota; Metazoa; Nematoda; Chromadorea; Rhabditida; Meloidogynidae. The record is from the annotation of a GenBank genome assembly.